Dipodomys ordii (Ord's kangaroo rat) is the source of this 107-nucleotide small nuclear RNA. Lineage: Eukaryota; Metazoa; Chordata; Mammalia; Rodentia; Heteromyidae. The record is from Ensembl.
GUGUCCACUUUGGCAACAAGUAUACUAAAAUUGAAACAAUACAGAGAAGAUUAACAUGGCUCCUGCGCAAGGAUGACACGCAAAUUAAUGAAGCAUUCCAUAUUUUU